This 62-nucleotide ribosomal RNA is filed under the name uncultured bacterium. RNAcentral's name for it is "partial 16S ribosomal RNA". The record is from RNAcentral.
GAGAGGUUGAACCGGCCACAUUGGGACUGAGACACGGCCCAGACUCCUACGGAAGGCAGCAG